GCUUUAGAGUGAGACAAAUAGUAAAGGAUUGAACCCAGCAAUGACACUAACGUUAAAGCUGCUCCGGCAGCAAAAACACCUUUUCGGAGGGUGGCACAUGAUAAGUGUUCACCGCCAAACACUGCCCUGUACUUGGUGUGGUAUGCAUUCCUUGCUGACCCAGCUAACAAACAUGCCUCAGCUCCCAAAAAGCUUACCCUAAACAUUUGUUAUUGUCAAAAUUUACACACCCAUGCUAAGUCUAUAUGAUUGGCAAAAGCUACUAUGGUAUGAUACUAUAGAAGACAGUAAGGUUGUGUUUCAUCUCCUCAAAAAGGAGGAAAAUAUGAAUACAAAUAACUACAUAUCUACUACAAGGAUUUCAUUUUACACCCUCUAAAAUUUAGUUUCACCAUUUUUUUCCUUUCUUAUUUAUAAGUUUAAAUCUUCAAUCAUACAAAUUUGAACCAAAAACCAAAUAAACUUGCUACAAGAUUUCAAAUUCCCCCAAUCUAUAUGAACCCUAAUAAUCAUUCAUUUGUAUCGUGGUUAUGCUAAAUUAGAAAAGCAACAAAAAUUUGACAGUCAAGUAAACUUUUAGACUCCUGAAAUAAUAUUGUCCUAACAACUAUCGCAAGGUUUCGAAUUUGAGUAACAAUAAAAGCCAAAUAAAUGAAAAAAUAAAGCCCUAUGACCAGAGAUCCUAAUUAUUCAAAGACAAAGGAAUGAUGACCUUCCAGAUUCUAGUGCAUUGUUUACACUAAUAAACAGGUGACAGUAUAGUCUGUAACAAGAAAUUUCAUCAUGAGUUGUAUGCGGAAAAUUUUUAAUUUAACUUAAAAUUUUUACAACUUGCACACAUGCAGCUUCACAACUAAUUUUGACAUUAUUAGUCGGUCGGUGGAAGAGAUAAUUUGAGAAGGGACCCAAUUUAUUAUACAAUGAUCAGUCAUAAAUCUUAAUCUACACAGUUGAGAUACUAAUUAGUAAAGUCAGUAUACAACUAAGCAACUACUGAUUACCCAAUUAUGCACAUGUUUGCCAGUAGAAAUUAAUUAGAAUGAUUAAAUUAAGAUUAAGAAAUGCAAAAAAAUUAGAGAGAAAAAGCAGAAAUCAACAAAUUUACCAGGAAAGGAUGAAGAAGAAGAUGGCCAGAGUAGUGGAGGAGCUCCCGCUCAGAAGCCCUUUACCAAAGCAGAGACAUCUGGUAACACCGUUAAUCACAGCUUGGCUUAAUAGCAAUAGCCCGAAAGCUGCCAAUCCAUACACCGUCGACGCGUCCGUCGUGUAUACACAGUAAGUCCUCUCAUCGUAUUGAUCAGGCACCACCUUAGCGUGGCUCCGACGGCGCUCAGCGCCGAUGGCAAGGACAAAGGCUAUGAGGUGGAGAGAAGUGACGAUAGCUAAAAUGGAGACGGAGACGGCCAUUAGUGUAUCUUGGUGGUGUGGUAGGAAAAGCCAGAAGCUGCUUUUGUUACUAAAGUUGGUUUUGGUUUGGAUGGAUAUUUUCCUCCUCCUUUUUGUUCUCCUU
RNAcentral lists this unclassified non-coding RNA (1510 nucleotides) under Hevea brasiliensis (rubber tree). Lineage: Eukaryota; Viridiplantae; Streptophyta; Magnoliopsida; Malpighiales; Euphorbiaceae. The record is from RNAcentral.